GACGAACGCUGGCGGCGUGCUUAACACAUGCAAGUCGAACGGAAAGGCCCUGCUUUUGUGGGGUGCUCGAGUGGCGAACGGGUGAGUAACACGUGAGUAACCUGCCCUUGACUUUGGGAUAACUUCAGGAAACUGGGGCUAAUACCGGAUAGGAGCUCCUGCUGCAUGGUGGGGGUUGGAAAGUUUCGGCGGUUGGGGAUGGACUCGCGGCUUAUCAGCUUGUUGGUGGGGUAGCGGCUUACCAAGGCUUUGACGGGUAGCCGGCCUGAGAGGGUGACCGGCCACAUUGGGACUGAGAUACGGCCCAGACUCCUACGGGAGGCAGCAGUGGGGAAUAUUGCACAAUGGGCGGAAGCCUGAUGCAGCAACGCCGCGUGCGGGAUGACGGCCUUCGGGUUGUAAACCGCUUUCGCCUGCGACGAAGCGUGAGUGACGGUAAUGGGUAAAGAAGCACCGGCUAACUACGUG
RNAcentral lists this ribosomal RNA (468 nucleotides) under uncultured bacterium. Its description in RNAcentral is "partial 16S ribosomal RNA". It matches the Rfam family "Bacterial small subunit ribosomal RNA", at positions 28 to 507 of the family's 1533-position model. The record is from RNAcentral.